RNAcentral lists this ribosomal RNA (403 nucleotides) under uncultured bacterium. Its description in RNAcentral is "partial 16S ribosomal RNA". It matches the Rfam family "Bacterial small subunit ribosomal RNA", at positions 28 to 526 of the family's 1533-position model. The record is from RNAcentral.
GACGAACGCUGGCGGCGUGCCUAAUACAUGCAAGUCGAACGCAGUGGGGCCGGGUGAGUAACACGUGGGUAACCUCCCAUCAGAGGGGAUAACACUUGGAAACAGGUGCUAAACCGAUACUGAUGGAUGGACCCGCGGUGCAUUAGCUAGUUGGUGAGGUAACGGCUCACCAAGGCCACGAUGCAUAGCCGACCUAGGAGGGGGAUCUGUCACGCUGGGACUGAGACACGGGCCAGACUCCUCCGGAGGGCAUCAGGAGGAAAUCUUCGGCUAGGGACGAAAGUCUGGCCGAGCAACGCCGCGUGAGUGAAGAAGGUUUUCGGAGCGUGAAACUCUGUUGUUAGAGGAGCGGUAUCUAACCAGAAAGCCACGGCUAACUACGUGCCAGCAGCCGCGGUAAUAC